GAAUUCACCUGUUACAUGGGCAAAUUUGAAGAAGAUCAUGGAAUGGCUAAGCUUGGAUGUGGAUAUCUUUAUUUGAUGCCUUUCUUCUUCAAGUUGAUAUUUUAUGCAUUGUUUGUUGCAUGAUUCUAAUGUCCAAAGGAAUUUGGGUUUCUAUAUGACAUUUUUGUCUAUUGGAUUGCAGCACAUUGAUCAGAUCUUUU
RNAcentral lists this long non-coding RNA (200 nucleotides) under Lathyrus oleraceus (garden pea). RNAcentral describes it as "Pisum sativum (pea) long non-coding RNA (PSAT_LNC012045)". Lineage: Eukaryota; Viridiplantae; Streptophyta; Magnoliopsida; Fabales; Fabaceae. The record is from RNAcentral.